UGGACUAAAGAUGGAGUAUAGGAUGA
Molecule: non-coding RNA, 26 nt
Filed under: Homo sapiens (human)
Lineage: Eukaryota; Metazoa; Chordata; Mammalia; Primates; Hominidae
Source: RNAcentral